GGGGUUCCUUAAUAAAAGAAACCUAUUUUCUCUAAUAAGAGGUUUCUUAUACAAGUUAUAAGAAACCCUUUUUGAAAAAAUGUGAUUCCUUAUCUAAUUAUAUAAAUUUAGUGUUAUUUAAGGAACUGCCUUUUAUGAAAAGGGGUUUCUUAUACGGAAUAUCAAUCUAAAACUAUUUCUAACCCAUCUUCAAAUUAAAACAAUAAAAAAUAAAAAACCUAUUUCUAACCCUAUUAUCAUACCAGUUAUCUUCCAUCCACCCCCAUGAAUCACAGUCGCCUCCACCGUCCCCAUUCACUCAUCUCUCUUCUCCCUCUCUUACAGUUCUAAUCUCUCUUCUAUUGAAGCGUCCUCUAGCUCUCAUUGAAGCGGAUCUCGAGCUUUAUAGAUUUCAAAUUAUCAAGUUUAAUGGCAGAAGAAACUGGUUCCCAGCCAACUAACUGUGUUAAUCCUGCAACAAGAACACAUUCAAUUGGUUUAAAGUGAAAAUUUAUAUUCGACAAAGGAUGGUUGGAGCUUUGUCAAUUUUGUUUGGAGACAAAUAAAAUUUCUUUAGAGGUUUUAGAAGAUCAGUUAUUGUAAAUGUUGUUGAUUGUGUUUAGAAUUUUAUAGUUAUAUUAAUAUUAAGUAAAAGAAUUUUACAUAUUUGUGCAUGAAUAUUAUAUGGAGUAAAGAGCUUGAAAAUUGAAGGGAGCGUGAUAUGUAGGAAUAUCGUAUAUAU
Long non-coding RNA from Chenopodium quinoa (quinoa), 721 nucleotides. RefSeq lists it as uncharacterized. The transcript is spliced from 3 exons. Lineage: Eukaryota; Viridiplantae; Streptophyta; Magnoliopsida; Caryophyllales; Amaranthaceae. The record is from RefSeq and is a predicted model, not a curated record.